RNAcentral lists this ribosomal RNA (460 nucleotides) under uncultured bacterium. RNAcentral describes it as "partial 16S ribosomal RNA". It matches the Rfam family "Bacterial small subunit ribosomal RNA", at positions 338 to 795 of the family's 1533-position model. The record is from RNAcentral.
CCUACGGGAGGCUGCAGUGAGGAAUAUUGGUCAAUGGACGAGAGUCUGAACCAGCCAAGUAGCGUGAAGGAUGACUGCCCUAUGGGUUGUAAACUUCUUUUAUAUGGGAAUAAAAUGUUCCACGUGUGGGAUUUUGUAUGUACCAUAUGAAUAAGGAUCGGCUAACUCCGUGCCAGCAGCCGCGGUAAUACGGAGGAUCCGAGCGUUAUCCGGAUUUAUUGGGUUUAAAGGGAGCGUAGGUGGAUUGUUAAGUCAGUUGUGAAAGGUUGCGGCUCAACCGUAAAAUUGCAGUUGAAACUGGCAGUCUUGAGUACAGUAGAGGUGGGCGGAAUUCGUGGUGUAGCGGUGAAAUGCUUAGAUAUCACGAAGAACUCCGAUGGCGAAGGCAGCUCACUGGACUGCAACUGACACUGAGGCUCGAAAGUGUGGGUAUCAAACAGGAUUAGAUACCCGUGUAGUC